CCUGUGCGAAGCGCCGGCAGUUUAACGCAACGAGCGGCAAAUAGGAUAUUCCCGUCCGAGAAACGCAGAAUCGCACCCAGCGACUAAACACGAAUCUUAACACCGUGGACGCCGCCCGCAUGCGCCGCCGUCCCAAGCCCAUUGGCGCGGCAGGCGGAAGCGCGCCGGGGAACGGCGCGACACCACCAUGCUGUCCGGCUCCGACCAUCUCUGCCUCUCGCCAUGUCCGAGCUCCGCCCCGACCAGGACUCUGGCGAGCCCUCGAGCUGCUCUGCCUGCCUCUACGCAGGACGGCAUGAGGCCUUCCUCCGCUGCCCGGUCGCCUCCCGCUAUGGGUUGUCGCUUCUAUUCGAGCUCCAACAGGGAGCCAUGGCGAAGGAGCUGUCGUUGGCGUGCGCAGCCGGAGCAGUUACCGCUGAAGUUUCACUCCCGCCACAUACGAGGUUCUUCUAGGCCCUGUACAUUGACAUUUGCUUCCGGAGAAAAAAAAGUGCCUCCAUGUGAGCGGCAGAGUGAGCGGCAGAGAUUCUUCACGUGAGCAGCUACCAGCUCUGUCAUCAACAGGACAUCAUAGUAGGCAAAUGAAAUCUUUUAUGUCUAGCCACUUGACUAUUCAUCUAGAUCCCUGUACAUAGCUUCCCACUGCGGACACACAAUAUAAACAAAAGUCAGUAUGCUAUCCUGAUUAUAUAGCAGAAGAGAGUUAGUGCAUGUGCAUGUAUCAAAAAUAAAUUCAUCUCAUGGUUGCCAAAAGAAGAUUGUUAAUUAGUCAAAUUCAGUAACGAAUCUCUCCGUCCAGAAGGGGUCAUUCAUGCAGUUUUCUUUGGAGUUGGUUGUGGCUUUAGUAAAAAAGAAUUUAGAUAUAAAUCCUGUAGGGACUAGCGAAUGAGAAACUGAGCUAACAAUCAUCAAGAAUCGGAACAGCAGCAAGGGAAGCCUCUCCAUGUGGCAGGCGCAGAUGCACAAAUCAAGCUAGUACCUCAAAACGCAACACCAAAUCAACCUCGCUCCGGCAGAGCUCCGGCAGCGACCUCGCUCUCCACAUCCUUCUCGUUUUUCCUACCCACACCCGGCAGCAGCCAGCAGUCAGAUCCUUGCACGAAGAACGGUCGAGCGAAUCAACGAACCUCAGUUACUCACCUCUGCUAGAAGACGGAUCCUGCUCCCCUAUGCACACGGCUCGUCGAGAACCAACUGGGCCAGGUCCUUUACCCCCGGCGUGACCCCGCGCGACUCCUCCCCGACACCGGCUGCAUCCUCGAGAAACGCCUGGACCCCCGCCCGAAGGACUCCCGCGGCUGCGCCACCGGCGAAGCAGCGCCGGGCAGCUUGAGGAAGAAGCCGUGCCAUGGGAGCACCGGAGGAAGGGGCGGCGCUGUGCUUUGGAAUCGGAGCUGUCGCCGGCGUGAUUUGGGGAUUACCGUGUGUGGUCAGGAUAUAGAGGAUGAGAGAAUAGCGCGAGGAGGAGGGAGCUGAGCAUGUGAGCGUUAUUUUAGUGGAGGGAGCUGAGGCAUGCGAGCGUUAUUUUAGUUGCGUAGCAUUCCGCAUUGGAGAGAACGGGUGCCAGCCAGGUGCUACGCCUACGUCAAAC
Molecule: long non-coding RNA, 1591 nt
Filed under: Triticum aestivum (bread wheat)
Lineage: Eukaryota; Viridiplantae; Streptophyta; Magnoliopsida; Poales; Poaceae
Description: long non-coding RNA (TAES_LNC016785)
Source: RNAcentral